AUCAAAGAACAAAACAACAGAGAACAUUUCUCACUGCUCUUGACUAAAGAACUUUUGUAGCUUAAAUAAUGAUUAGUCUAUAUUUAAUGAAUAAUUUAUGCAGUGCAGGCUGUUUGAUCACUUUAUUCAAUUUUGAUAUGUCCGAGGCCCCCUGUUAGACAGCAAGGGCUCAGGAAGGAGUCCUGUGAUGAAACACAAAGAGGCUCAAAGCUGCGUGAAGCCGGAUCAGGACCAAACUGAGAGCGGUUCUGUAGAGUCUGCAUGAGUCCUGAUCUCUAAGUGAUUAAUAACUAAUCAAACGUUCCUCACAGUAACGUCUGAUGAACACGAUCCCUUAUGGAGGGAACCAGCAUGCUGAGUCCUCACGUGAUCUGGUCUCCACUAAAGGCUCAAACCUGCAGAGCUGCUGCUGUUCUCACACGUUCUCACCACAACGCUUCCUCUUCACUUCUGAGGAAACAACCACCAGAUGCAAAGAGGAAGAAACUCAUCCUCAGAGCUCCGACACGUCGUCUCUAUGAGCACGACGAGGAAGUGACGCUGUGCAACCAGAGGAAGCAGAAGCUGCAUCUGUGAGGAAGAAGCACUCGGUCAGACGCCUUGAGGAGCAGAGACACCAUGGUGGAACUCAGAGGGACUCAAAGGACUUUAUGUGUGAUGCUGCUGCUGCUUCAGGCUGCAGUAAGAGGACAAACCCCCCCUGUCCCCCGCUUCCUCGUCAGAGCCGGAGAUGACGUCACUUUGCCUUCUAAUCAGGACAGAUGUAACGGAUCUACUUGGCUUCACAGUCGUAGUGAUCCAGCUGUGGAGCUGGUUACACUUGGGAAGAUUAAGAAUAACGCUUUGAUUCCAGAAGCUAAAACCAACAGACUGAGUUUGACAGCAAACUGUUCUCUGGUUAUAAGAAACGUCUCAGGUGAAGGUGUUGGUCGUUACACCAACAGACAUUAUGAUGAAGGAGGAAAACAUCAAGGUCCAGAUGGUGUGGUCUCUCUGUACGUGUUUACAAUGGAGGAAAAGGACUACGGGGGUCUGGUUGUGUUGUCCUGCUUUGUGUUGAGAUUCUCUGAGUGUGAACACACAGUAAAGUGGCAUUAUGACGGCAAACAGACUGAUGUGACGACAUCACACGUUGCUUGUGAAGCCAAUGUGACGUUUAAAGCUCCUCUUCAUCAGAAGUCAAAGUAUUAUAAGUCACUGAGAUGUGAAGUGAGAGACACUCGGAGUGGAAAAACUCUGCUGUUUGAAGCCUGCAGUCAGUUCUCAUGUGAACAAACAGUAAGAGGACAAACCCCCCCUGACCCCCGCUUCCUCGUCAGAGCCGGAGAUGACGUCACUUUGCCUUCUAACCAUGUGGAUCAGGACAGAUGUGACGGUUCUACUUGGCUUUACAAUCGUACUGAUUCAUCUGUGGAGCUGGUUACACUUGGGAAGAUUAAUAAUAACGCUUUGAUUCCAGAAGCUAAAAGCAACAAACUGAGUUUGACAGCAAACUGUUCUCUGGUUAUAAGAAGCGUCUCAGGUGAAGAUGUUGGUCGUUACACCAACAGAGAUUUUAAUGAAGCAGGAAAACAACAAGGUCCAGAUGGUGUGGUCUCUCUGUCCAUGUUUACAAUGGAGGAAAAGGACUACGGGGGUCUGGUUGUGUUUUCCUGCUUUGUGUUGAGAUUCUCUGAGUGUGAACACACAGUAGAGUGGCUUUAUGACGGCAAACAGACUGAUGUGAUGAUGUCACACGCUGCUUGUGAAGCCACUGUGACGUUUAAAGCUCCUCUUCAUCAGAAGUCAAAGUAUUAUAAGUCACUGAGAUGUGAAGUGAGAGACAAUCAGAGCGGAAAAACUCUGCUGUUUGAAGCCUGCAGUCAGUUCUCAUCUGAACAAACAGGAGGCCCAUCGGGGGAGGGAAACAUUACACCACCUGCACCACCAGUCUGGUGGCCGUGGCUCGUCAUCCCGCUGGUGGGUUUAUUGGUCCUCUUCAUCAUCCUCGUGGUCUUCAUCAGAUGGAGAAAUCAAGGGAAAAGAACACAGACGGACGAAAACAUCGCCGACCCCGAGGAAGGCGUAGCCUACGCCUCCGUCAGCUACACCAGGACGGCCGGCGGAGGAGCCCGGGCUCGAGUCAAAGAUGGCGACGAUGCGGUGACUUACUGCACUGUGAAAGCUCCGCCUCCUGCUUCUUCUUCUGGUGCCGGAGCCUCCGUUGAUCCCAGUGACCUCUACGCGGUCGUCAACAAACCCAACAAAUAAGAGGCUACGUUGAUGAUUGUAAACCAAGUCAAGCUUUCUUCAUCACGUUCACUCACUGCUGAGAUGAAUUGAGCCAUUUAGUAAAAUGUUUAGAGCAUUUUACAUUCAUUGAUGAUUUUAUUUGAAUAACCUGAAUGUUCCCACCAGAUAAAUCAGAUUAUUAUUGGAAAAAGGAGUAAAACAAGACUGAAAAUGUAAAUAUGAUAAUAUUAACACAUAGUUUUGCAUUUAAAGUGCGCAUUUUUGAUUACAUUUUACAUUUUUUACAUUAUGAUCAUUUUGUUAUGAUAGUAUGAUUUAUUCCUUUUGCAAUUGUUGGAUAAAAAAAAGCCUUUCUAUCCAGAACAGGGUGUAGUAAGUUAACGUGUUUUAUAUUUAUUGAUAAUUUUAUUUGAAUAACCUGUUCCCACCAGAUCAAUCAAUGGAGGCAUACUGAGAAUGUAAAUAUGAUAAUAAUGAAACAUAGUUUUGCAUUUAAAGUGAGCAUUUGACCACGUUUUUUUACAUUAUGAUAAUUUUGUUGUGAUAAUUUGUUGUUUGUUGGAUUUGUUGCUUUUGCGAUUGUUCUUCAUGUCCUCAUGAAAUAAACUAGUAACAUAUAGUUUAUCAGGGUUCAUAGUCCAGAUUAAUUGUUUUUUAUUAUAUAUUCCUGUAAUAGUUUCACCUCGUGGAUGUUGAGUUUGCUUUGAACUAAAUAAAAGACAGAAAGGAAGUGCGUUGUGAUCCAGAACCUGUUUGAGCCUCCAGAAACGUCCCGAACACGACAGAGCACAAAGACACCGAGUCCGGGUCUGAAGGUCCAGACGUUCCCC
This is a long non-coding RNA of Gasterosteus aculeatus aculeatus (three-spined stickleback), 3062 nucleotides long. The record is from Ensembl. Lineage: Eukaryota; Metazoa; Chordata; Actinopteri; Perciformes; Gasterosteidae.